AGUGAACGCUGGCGGCAGGCCUAAUACAUGCAAGUCGAACGGCAGCACAGUGGAGCUUGCUCCAUGGGUGGCGAGUGGCGGACGGGUGAGGAAUACAUGGGAAUCUGCCCAGUCGUGGGGGAUAACGUAGGGAAACUUACGCUAAUACCGCAUGCGCCCUUCGGGGGAAAGCCGGGGACCUUCGGGCCUGGCGCGAUUGGAUGAGCCCACGUUCGAUUAGCUAGUUGGCGGGGUAAAGGCCCACCAAGGCGACGAUCGAUAGCUGGUCUGAGAGGAUGAUCAGCCACACUGGGACUGAGACACGGCCCAGACUCCUACGGGAGGCAGCAGUAGGGAAUAUUGGACAAUGGGCGCAAGCCUGAUCCAGCCAUGCCGCGUGAGUGAAGAAGGCCCUCGGGUUGUAAAGCUCUUUUGUCCGGGAAGAAAAGCAUCGGGCUAAUACCUCGGUGUUCUGACGGUACCGGAAGAAUAAGCACCGGCUAACUUCGUG
RNAcentral lists this ribosomal RNA (490 nucleotides) under uncultured bacterium. Its description in RNAcentral is "partial 16S ribosomal RNA". It matches the Rfam family "Bacterial small subunit ribosomal RNA", at positions 29 to 507 of the family's 1533-position model. The record is from RNAcentral.